ACUGCUCAGCGGAUGGGUUACAAGUAAGAACGUAAACGAAGGAGUUUGUAAAGUGUGAAGCAACUCCUUGCGUGAGGGAACCGUGAGAGACCGGAAUCUUAUAAUUUGAGUUCCUUGGUGAAAACUGCAGAACCACAGCUAAUGAUUGCUGAAGAGAGGCUUGACACUUCCCUCAGCUCAGAUUUUGAACUUAUGAAGAGAAUCUAUCCAUCAUCCUUAUGUGAGGAAGAAACUAUUGGUUACUUGGGACAAGACUUCUUGAAAUGAAAUAGUAUAAUACGGCAAAGCCCCAGAGAAGAGGUUUCACUGAAAAAAGUUAAACUGAUCUCUGGCAUCAGAGAUGAAAGCUGAUGUGAAAUGAGCAUGUUUGAAGCUCUUCCUAAGGGGCUGCAGAUGUUUGCAUGCAACCUGCUGCACAUGGGUGUAAGAAAGACCUACUUGGCCCUCCAGACCUAGUAGAUUUGCAGCGGGGACACACUGGGGUGAAGUGGUCUGUGUGACUGCCUGUGUGCUGACUGCAAAGGGAAGGCCUGAGAGGUGCCUCUGUGUCUCAGCAGAGAGCUAAGAGUUCGCCUGACCAACUAGAACAAAAGCAUGUGGCCCCCUCCACUUGUCGGUUUGCCGCUGCUUGAGAGGCCCCGACAGUCCAACCUGUAUGAGUGCUGUGGGAUCCCAAAUUGUGAAUAAGCAAAAGAAAAGUAGCAAUCAUAAUCAAAGUAACUUGAGGGAUGAAGACCAAGUCAGAAACCUACACAAGUGGGACCUGCUGAGGCAGAAGUGAUGAAAGAAGCAGAGGAGAAUUUCCAGAAAAAUAUUAAUAACAUUCAAAGAGAGGCACUUAUACUCAACCCUUCCUCCAAAAUCCUUCAGGAAUCAGAAAAUAUGAAUUCCAAAUUAAAAUAAAUCAUUAUACAAACAAACGAAAAAAGACUAUGAUUACUGUUGAGGAAGAAAUGUCACCAAUGUGAAAGAAAUAUGAAGUAUGAAAAUCAUGAGUAAAGAACUUUAGAGCAGAAUCUCCCAACUGUUGGUCUUUGCCACAUUGUGGAGCAGCUGAUGGGGUACACAUGUGCUGAAAUAUUGACUCCCCACAAGCAGUGGGUCAGCUGUGAUGGGCCUCUGGUGGCUCAGGUGCCCAGACUGCUACCAUGAGCAGCCUACUUCAUUUGCCACUGCUGCUGUGAAAAAGAAAUGAAAGAGGUUGGGAGCUCUGCUUUAGAAGCUAGAUCCAGAGAGCACCUGUGUGAAUAACUGAAGUUCUAAAAGGAGAACAGAAACAUAGAGGAG
Molecule: long non-coding RNA, 1287 nt
Filed under: Equus asinus (donkey)
Lineage: Eukaryota; Metazoa; Chordata; Mammalia; Perissodactyla; Equidae
Description: lncRNA (ENSEASG00005015881.2)
Source: RNAcentral